AUCAAAUUCAGCCUAACAGGAAAGGAAUUCCCAUGUGAAUUGACUUUUUAAAAUGACUACAAAUUAAUACUCUUAAGCUCUGAUUCAUUUAUUAUAUUAUGUGGUGUAAUAAGAUGCCCUUGGGUCAUUUUAGCAAAUAAAGUUUUUUCUUUUCACUUAACACUACUCCAAUUGGAUAGCACCAUCUUAUAGUUGAAAUGGCUAAGCUUCAUAGAGUAAUAACUGAUCAUCUCUCUCUCUCUGAGAUAUUUUGCAAUAAAUACAGAUUUAGCUGUGCAAUAGUAUGCCUUCAGAAGCCAUUCCCAAUACCUUUAGCACAGUCUUUAAAAAUAUUCUUGGGGCUAGCAAUUUUCUCUAUUAUGUCUUGCUGUUUCCUGCUCACCACCUCCAUUGCUAUGUCUAAACUUUGUUGCUGCUUUAGCUGUCCAUUUUAUGCUUUUUAUUCAUAUUUUUCUGUCAUCUCUUUGCAAUUAAAUUUUGUGCUCCUAUGAAAUUUUUGUAAUCAUAACCAACCAAUUUUAUUAUUCCUUUUUAUUUCUGGUUAAUGCAUUGACAAAUUAUAGUACAUAAUAUGUGUGUAAUAAUCAGGUGUUUUGCUAUAUUUUUGUCGGGUUCACCGUAAAAUUUUUUUUCCAACUUUUUUUGCUUUUUUAUUUUUAUCUCUGGGAUUGUAACAGUUCAGAAUUUUCCAGAAACUUGAAGCAUUCAUGUAUUUUAUUACUAGUAUACUCAAUUUUAAUGGAAAGAAGUUGGUCAAACAGUUUUAGUUAAAGAUCUUAAAGAUGAGCAGAAUUCCAAGAGGUGAUUUUAAUUUACAUAAGCACAGUUCCUAGAAAUUAGCUGCAGAGAAAUUAGUUGUCUCAACCCUUCCCAGAGUCUGGAAUUUUCUAAAGUAAAACUUUACAACUAAAUGUGUGACAUUUUCUGGACAAAGCAUAAGCACUGACAUGAGACUAAACAUGGAUUUCUACCUUAUUUUUCUCCUUAGUAGCUAUCAGAUCUUUACGAGCCUUUUCUCACAAGAUGGAGAUAC
Molecule: long non-coding RNA, 1033 nt
Filed under: Marmota monax (woodchuck)
Lineage: Eukaryota; Metazoa; Chordata; Mammalia; Rodentia; Sciuridae
Source: RNAcentral